Molecule: non-coding RNA, 27 nt
Filed under: Mus musculus (house mouse)
Lineage: Eukaryota; Metazoa; Chordata; Mammalia; Rodentia; Muridae
Source: RNAcentral
UCGAUGGCAAAAGAAUUCCCAAGGAGG